Non-coding RNA from Gasterosteus aculeatus aculeatus (three-spined stickleback), 1206 nucleotides. Lineage: Eukaryota; Metazoa; Chordata; Actinopteri; Perciformes; Gasterosteidae. The record is from RefSeq and is a predicted model, not a curated record.
CUGACGCGAUCAUGUGACUGUGUGUGUCCAGACCUGCUUCCCCAUCGUCCUCCACUACCUGACGCUCAUACGCAACGUCUCCAUGGGAAUCGUCUUCGCGCUCGCCGCCCUGGCGCUGCUCGGCAUGGCGCUGUCCUCCACCAUCAUCCACCAGAUGCGUUACCCGGGCCGCUCCACCCUCAUGAUGACGGUGCCGUCCAUCUUCACCUUGCCUCCACCCAAAUACCAGGAGCUGCACAACCCCCCCGGGUACUAGAGGGGGGGCUUUCUGUCUCAGGGGCUGGUUUGGGCCGAUUGGGUCCUCGGAUGCCAAAGUGCCUUCUGGGAACUGUUAACCACUGGGGUUCCUUGUCAGUUAGCUUAGAGACGAUCUGAUUGGUUGUUGCAGUGUGGGGGCGGGGCUUAUUGGGCGGCACAGAGAGGGUCGUUGAGGUUUUGUUCAAUUUUUACUUUUUUCAAAGGAAAAUGUCAUUUAGACCAGUUGUCAAUUAUAAUAAAAUGAAGAUGACAAUAAUUUGAGGCCCGAUUGAAGGAAAUCGAAGACGUCUUGAUUUCUAGGCUUUAAUCUCUAAAUCUCUUUUUGUAGAGACUUAAAAUCUGUUGUUUAGUUUAAUUCUUAAAGUCCCGAAGUUAUGAGGAACUGAAAAUCCAUUUGAGCCAAACUCAAAGACAGGAAAGUGAAUUGAAAGUUUUAUUUUUUAGUGGAAUAUUACUUGAUUUACUUAAAAAUUGUUUUUACUGUAAAAUUUUACUGUAAAAUUUUACUUUUAACCGUCCCUUAAUAUCUUAUUUGUCAAACAUUAAAACGUAAUUUAUUUUCUAACCAAUCACCAGCCAGCUGUCGCUCAUGUUGACACUUUAUUUAGUUAAAUAUCAUGUGUGUGUAUUUACAUCCUGUCGGGUUUGUUAAAUGUCUUUUCUUUCCCUGUUAAACCUUUUGAUUCUAAAACAUUUUCCCAUAAUUAUGUAAAAACCGAUGACGUUAAGGCUUUUAGUUUGAAAACUGAGAGCCGCUUUGAGACCCUCUGACAAAAAUGUGACGUGAAGUUUCUUAUGUUUUUAAUUAAAGUCAAUUUAAAUAAAUUCAUGAAGAGCUUUUUUAAGGAAUGUAAAGAAUGAAACUGAAGAAAAAGGGAAAUAAUCUUUUGUAUCUUUUUAGAUUUUCUGCUUGAACUGACGGCUUCAAAAUAAAAGAUCAAAACACUA